GAAGGGGGAGAGGAGCUCCUGAUUCCCGUCACCUAGGAUGCUCUAUAGGCUCCGUGUCCUAUAGACACGGCUCGCCUGCCCAGCGCAUCCCUCCGCCAGGCUGGAAAAAAGAAUCGGGGGCUGCCCCACCAGCCCGGCAAGGGGAAGAGGAGCUGCCCCCGGCUGCGCUGCCUGGCUCAGCCUCCCGGGGGAGGGCUCUGCCCGGGGGGCCGGAGCAUCCCACCGCGCCAGCCAGGGCUCCGGGGGUGGGCGAGUCCCGGCGGCGGCAGCGAGCCCCCGCCCCGCCAACCCUGCCCGCACUCGGGACGGCAGCCGCCGGCGGGGCAUUGCCCUUUUAAGCUGUGGCCCCACUGCCUCCUCCCCGGCUCCCGGAGGGGCUCCGGCAGCCGCCGCGACCUCCCUCCUUUCCCUCCCUUCCAUCCCUCCCCGCUCCCGGCGGCGGCGAGCGGCGGCUGCGGGCCGGGGCGCGGAGGAGCCCCGGGGCGGCGGCGGGAGCCGGGCUGCCCCUGCCCGCGCUGCUCGGGGACCAUGGGAUGCUGCACCGGGCGCUGCACCCUCAUCUUCCUCUGCACUUUGCAGCUGCUUGCUGCAUUAGAGAGGCAAGUGUUUGAUUUCCUGGGAUACCAGUGGGCCCCUAUCCUCGCCAACUUCCUCCACAUCAUCAUCGUUAUCCUCGGCCUGUUUGGCACGAUUCAAUAUAGACCUCGCUACAUAGUGGUGUAUGCCAUCUGGACUGCAAUUUGGGUCACCUGGAACAUCUUCAUCAUCUGCUUUUACUUAGAAGUGGGAGGGCUCUCAAAGGACAGUGAACUCUUGACGUUCAACAUCUCCCGGCACCAGUCAUGGUGGAGUGAAAAUGGUCCUGGCUGUGUAAGGAAGGAGGCUUCAAUGUCUGGCAUCAAAGGGCUGGACAGCCAUUCCUACAUCUCUGUGAUAGGCUGUGCCCUGGAGUAUCGGUACAUCGAGGUCAUGCACAGCUCCUUCCAGAUCCUGAUCGCGCUAGUGGGCUUUGUCUACGCCUGUUACGUUGUUAGUGUUUUUACAGAAGAAGAAGACAGCUUUGAUUUCAUUGGUGGAUUUGAUCCAUUUCCUCUCUACCAUGUCAAUGAAAAACCCACCAACCUUUUGUUCAAGCAGACAUACCUGUAGACUUUUUCCCAAACAAACAAUUUGCUGAAUAUCAACAUGAAUUUGCAAACUGUUUUGAUCAACCUGAAGCUGCAUGUUUAAGAGGCCUGCGUAAGUAAAGAGGAGCCAGAGGAUGGAUAAACCUUGCACUCCACCAUCAAAGGUGCUGCAGGAAACAAUCCCCUGCAGCCUGGAUCUUUGGCAAAGGAAAUGCAGGAUGGUGAACUCCAUUCCAUUUUUUGUUCCUUGUCUUCUUUUCAAAUGCAAUGAAUGUACAUUGAAGAAUGGCCACGCAGUUGGUUUUUAAUUCUGCAAGUGCCCUGACAAACCAUUCCUACCAUAGCCUGCUGGUACUAGCCACUACAUGACACAGGCCUGAAGACCUCAGGCAGAGCAAGUUCACUGAGAGCCUCUCUCAAGAGAUACAGCUGAAGUCAGAGCUGCUUCCUUGUGCCAUGGAUCCAUAAAGAAGGAAGCACUGCAUAACACCCUGGGACAUUUCAUAUGUUCUGUAGUUAGUUUCUACCCCUUCUCCUUUUCCUUGUUCUGAGAAGAGCCUAAAUCCCCUAACACAACUUCAUCUCCUCCCUGCCUGUAUAGAACUAGGUGGGGGCUAUUUGCAUUUGAGUUAUUUAGGCUUUUUUUUUGUUUCCUUUUUUUUUUUUUUAAAGUUAUAGAUGAGACCUCUUCCCUUUUUCCCCCCUGGCCCCUCCAGGACUCCCUUCCUCAUUCUCUAGACAUGGUCAGCACCCUAGAAGUAGGCAUUUGUCCUGGAUUUCAGCGUUCUGUGACCUAACUCCUAUAAUGCUGAACAGCUAAAAACUAGUACAAGCACCAAAUCUUUACUCAGCAUGGAGCUUAGCCCCAUUUCAAUAUGCCAAGCCGUUCUCAGAGCAGCUGUAGCUUACUCUGGGUUUGCCCAUCUACAUUGAAUUAACACUGGUGUAGCCAUAUACACAGCUGAAGCCUGCAGCAGGACACAGGAAAGUGCCUAGUUCUUCAUAGAUCACAGAUGGUUUUGUACCUGCCUUCUUCACCAAGCAGCUGUGCUUAUUCCAGGCACAAGCCUGGGAACAUCCCGAUGGAAGGGGGUUUUCAUGACAGGAUAAUUUUGAGGGGAGGGAGUGGGCUGAAGGAAAGGAGAAAUAUAAGUGUAAUUAAGUUGCAUUAAUGAGCUGCAGCAAUUAAUUAAAAAACAAACAAAAAAACCAGUGUCAGUUUUGUUAGCUAUAUCUCCCAGCAUGUUAUGUGUCAAGCAGAGAAUGUGCCCUUGUUACCCAUCCGUGGCAUUCUUUGGCUGGUACGUUCCAAGUGCUGUUGUAAUUCUUUAUUGUCUUGCCUAAUCUGUUUGAGAUUACUUGGCAUUUUGGAGUACUGCUUUUCAGAAGAGUCAAGACAGAAGCCGCGCUCAGGAGAGGAAGUGUGAGGGGAGAAUUAAA
This is an RNA transcript of Chroicocephalus ridibundus (black-headed gull), 2567 nucleotides long. It is a transcript of the gene named sodium/potassium transporting ATPase interacting 4, with no coding region annotated. Lineage: Eukaryota; Metazoa; Chordata; Aves; Charadriiformes; Laridae. The record is from RefSeq and is a predicted model, not a curated record. The transcript has 8 exons.